GUGGGGAAUAUUGGGCAAUGGGCGCAAGCCUGACCCAGCAACGCCGCGUGAAGGAAGAAGGCUUUCGGGUUGUAAACUUCUUUUACCAGGGACGAAACAAAUGACGGUACCUGGUGAAUAAGCCACGGCUAACUACGUGCCAGCAGCCGCGGUAAUACGUAGGUGGCGAGCGUUAUCCGGAUUUAUUGGGUGUAAAGGGCGUGUAGGCGGGACAGCAAGUCGGAUGUGAAAACCAGAGGCUCAACCUCUGGCCUGCAUUUGAAACUGUUGUUCUUGAGUGUCGGAGAGGUAAUCGGAAUUCCGUGUGUAGCGGUGAAAUGCGUAGAUAUACGGAGGAACACCAGUGGCGAAGGCGGAUUACUGGACGAUAACUGACGCUGAGGCGCGAAAGCGUGGGGAGCAAACAGGAUUAGAUACCCUAGUAGUCC
RNAcentral lists this ribosomal RNA (428 nucleotides) under uncultured bacterium. RNAcentral describes it as "partial 16S ribosomal RNA". It matches the Rfam family "Bacterial small subunit ribosomal RNA", at positions 354 to 796 of the family's 1533-position model. The record is from RNAcentral.